AAUGGUACCAAAUGAUUUCACCAUAUCUGUUAAUUGACGUCUGACAUGCGGCUAAUUAAAUGGAUUCAUGUCGAACGCAUUUCCUUCCGGUUCGCCAUCGUUAAUCUCUCUGCAAUAAACAAGCGGUGCUAUUCAAAAGCAGUUGGAGUUGAUUGUUGCCUGAUUCGCCAUAUUUUGUGUGCAUGUAGCUACAUGAUUUCGCCAUCGCGUGAUUGCAACUUCAUUUUUGUACGGCUUUCAUACACUGGCUGUACGUGUCGCUUAGUGGGAGAAGAUAGAAGAGGCGGCGAUAACGUGCACGCCUGCAAGUAUUUGAAACGCACAGAAAUUUUCAUUUAAAAACAAAUCAUUUAUAGCAUGGACAGAGAUAAGCGACAGGUUGGCUUUGCCCACUUAAGUCCAGCCCCUCCGUCUUGGAGUCGAGUGGGUAUCACAAAGUCAACAACGAACUGAAAUUUUCUUUCACUAUCUCACCGUAGACGGUAGUUUGGCUUCGCUUUUCACGUUAGGUUAUUGGACUCGUAAAAAGCAGAGGACUGGUGAACAACAUGUAAAGUCGAAACUUGUAAUUGACGUCUGAGACACAAGAACGACGAUGGAACCCAGCGGGCAGCAGGAAGAAAGCGUUGACAGGGCGGAAAUGCGGCAGCAGGCAACAGCUGAGUUGAAAUUUGGAAACAUUUCAUUACAAAAGGCCACUAAUGUAACCUAUCACCGGCCUUUGGUGGACAGGAAUGUCCGUAGUAAAAUGAUGGGUCGGGGCCGUUUCAGAGGAUGCACUCUCUGGUUUACAGGAUUUUCCGGUGCUGGAAAGACGACGCUUUCAUUUGCGCUGGAAGAUUACCUGAUCGCUCGAGGCAUUCCUUCGUUUUGUCUCGACGGUGACAACAUGAGAGUCGGCCUUAAUUCCGAUUUAGAUUUCUCCGAUGGUGAUCGAGAGGAGAACAUCCGACGGGUGACUGAAGUGUCCAAACUCUUUGCCGAGUCGGGCGUCGUGACGCUCUGCGCCUUCGUGUCGCCCUUCCGUCAGGAUCGAGAUAAUGCUAGGAAAAUUCAUCAAAAAGCUGGACUUCCAUUCAUGGAAAUCUAUGUGGACGCUCCGCUGGAAGUCUGCGAAAAACGUGACCCCAGGGGUCUUUACAAAAAGGCUCGACGAGGCGAAAUCAAAAAUUUCACUGGAAUCGAUUCACCGUACGAACCCCCACAGCGUCCCGACAUGACGUUGCCCACCAACGAAAUGUCCGUCAGCGAAUGCACUCAACAGCUGGUCGACAUGCUCGUCACUAGGAACAUUUUGCCUCAAACUGCCCAGGCUUCUGUGCUGGAACUUUUCGUAGCCGAUCCAAUCCAAGCCAGAGCCGAAAUGGAGACGUUACCUUCGCUGGAAAUUAGUAAAAUCGACCUGCAAUGGGUGCAGGUGUUGUCCGAAGGAUGGGCAUCUCCUCUUAGAGGAUUCAUGAGAGAACGUGAAUAUCUCCAGAUCAUGUACUUUAAAAGUAUUCACGAAGGUGUGGCCGUCUCCAAUCAGAGCAUGCCCAUCGUGUUGGCCGUCAGCACGGAGAAUAAACUGAGGUUGAGUGGCUGUCCUGCCAUUGCUCUGCGUUACCUGGGCAAGCCGAUUGCCAUUAUGAGGACACCGGAAUUUUUCGAACAUCGCAAGGAGGAACGAUGUGCCCGUCAGUUCGGUACGACGCAUCCCGACCAUCCGUACAUCCGCAUCAUCAAUGCCAGUGGCGAUUGGCUGGUUGGCGGUGAGCUGGAAGUCCUGGAACGAAUCAGAUGGAACGACGGACUGGAUGACUAUCGCCCAACACCAACCGAAUUGAAACGCAUAUUCCAGACGAUGGGAGCGGAUGCUGUUUUCGCCUUCCAGCUGAGAAAUCCCGUCCACAACGGCCACGCCCUUCUGAUGCAAUUCACAUGUCAAACGUUAUUGGAAAGGGGCUACAAGAAGCCCGUCCUUUUACUGCAUCCGUUGGGCGGGUGGACGAAAGACGAUGACGUUCCAUUGCACGUCAGGAUGGAGCAACACAAGGCCAUUCUGGAAGAGAAAGUGUUGGAUCCGGAGAACACUGUCCUGGCCAUUUUCCCAUCGCCCAUGAUUUACGCCGGCCCGACUGAAGUCCAAUGGCACGCCCGCGCUCGAUUGACGGCCGGCGUUAAAUUUUACAUCGUCGGUCGAGAUCCGGCCGGAGUGGAACACCCAGACGUCUUCAUGAACAAGCACCUGUACGAACCGACGCACGGCGGCAAAGUGCUGUCCAUGGCCCCUGGGCUGGCCGGCAUGGAAAUCAUCCCGUUCCGUGUAGCAGCCUACGACAAAGUGGCGAAUGCCAUGAAUUUCUUCGAUCCGGAUCGCAGCCAGGAUUUCGACUUUAUUUCCGGAACUCGGAUGAGAGGAUUAUAGAUGGAGACGGUUGCUGGGCCAUUGUAGCCGAGCAGUUCGCUUGCAACCAGAAAUAUCUGCUUUUCGGUAGACGUGUCGAUCCAGCACACGCACCGAUUAGGAAAGAUUACAAACAAAACGGUGGGCGCACGACGAAAUCCAAAGCAAACCGUUGGCCCCCUGGCUUUGAAAUUAUCAGUUGCCUGUGCUGUUUUUGGUUGGGUUUUUGAAAAGAUCGAAUUCCGUCAAAGCGAGAAGAAUGUUGAGAAACGUCGAUGAAAAGCCAACAAACAAAACGGGAGGAGGAGGAAAACCCCAAAAAAAGGGGUGGCCAAGAAGAUAACAGCCGUUGUUCAAGAUCCUCCCUUUUUUUUUUGGGUUUGUU
This 2771-nucleotide unclassified non-coding RNA is filed under the name Daphnia magna. Its description in RNAcentral is "bifunctional 3'-phosphoadenosine 5'-phosphosulfate synthase 2, transcript variant X2". The record is from RNAcentral. Lineage: Eukaryota; Metazoa; Arthropoda; Branchiopoda; Diplostraca; Daphniidae.